CCUACGGGUGGCAGCAGUAGGGAAUCUUCCACAAUGGGCGCAAGCCUGAUGGAGCAACACCGCGUGAGUGACGAAGGGUUUCUGCUCGUAAAGCUCUGUUGUUGGAGAAGAACGUUCGUCCGGGUAACUGUUCACACAGUGACGGUAUCCAACCUGACAGUCACGGCUAACUACGUGCCAGCAGCCGCGGUAAUACGUCGGUGGCAAGCGUUAUCCGGAUUUAUUGGGCGUCAAGGCCGCGCAGGCGGGCGCUUAGGUCGGCUGUGAAAGCCUUCGGCUUAACCGCAGAAGUGCAUCGGAAACUGGAGGACUGGAGUGCAGAAGAGGAAAGUGGAACUCCAUGUGUAGCGGUGGAAUGCGUAGAUAUAUGGAAGAACACCAGUGGCGAAGGCGGCUGACUGGUCUGCAACUGACGCUGAGGCUCGAAAGCAUGGGUAGCGAACAGGAUUAGAUACCCUAGUAGUC
This 465-nucleotide ribosomal RNA is filed under the name uncultured bacterium. RNAcentral describes it as "partial 16S ribosomal RNA". It matches the Rfam family "Bacterial small subunit ribosomal RNA", at positions 338 to 795 of the family's 1533-position model. The record is from RNAcentral.